AUAUCAAUAAGCGGAGGAAAAGAAACCAACAGGGAUUGCCCCAGUAACGGCGAGUGAAGCGGCAAGAGCUCAAAUUUGAAAUCUGGCCUCCCCCGGGGGCCCGAGUUGUAAUUUGCAGAGGAUGCUUCGGGUGCGGCCGCCGUCUAAGUUCCUUGGAACAGGACGUCAGAGAGGGUGAGAAUCCCGUCUUGGGCGGGCGGACCGCGCCCGUGUGAAGCUCCUUCGACGAGUCGAGUUGUUUGGGAAUGCAGCUCUAAGCGGGUGGUAAAUUUCAUCUAAAGCUAAAUACUGGCCGGAGACCGAUAGCGCACAAGUAGAGUGAUCGAAAGGUUAAAAGCACCUUGAAAAGGGAGUUAAACAGCACGUGAAAUUGUUGAAAGGGAAGCGCUUGCGGCCAGACUCGGGGGCGGGGUUCAGCGGGUGCUCGUCGCCCGUGUACUCCCCGUCUCCCGGGCCAGCAUCAGUUUCGACGGCCGGUCAAAGGCCCCCGGAAUGUGUCGUCUCUCGGGACGUCUUAUAGCCGGGGGUGCAAUGCGGCCCGUCGGGACUGAGGAACGCGCUCCGGCUCGGAUGCUGGCGUAAUGGCCGUAAGCGGC
Molecule: ribosomal RNA, 596 nt
Filed under: Trichophyton simii
Lineage: Eukaryota; Fungi; Ascomycota; Eurotiomycetes; Onygenales; Arthrodermataceae
Description: eukaryotic LSU rRNA
Rfam family: Eukaryotic large subunit ribosomal RNA
Source: RNAcentral